GAUGAACGCUGACAGAAUGCUUAACACAUGCAAGUCUUUGGCGAAGCUGUGCUUGCACAGCCUAGCCAAGGCGGACGGGUGAGUAACGCGUAAGGAACUUGCCCUGCAGUCAGGGAUAACAGACGGAAACGACUGAUAAGACCUGGUAAAGUCAGGCGGACUCAUGUCCAGCCUGAUGAAAAGUGAUGCUGCAGGAGAGCCUUGCGUCCUAUUAGCUUGUUGGUGGGGUAACGGCCCACCAAGGCGAUGAUAGGUAGCCGGCCUGAGAGGGUGGACGGCCACAAGGGGACUGAGAUACAGCCCUUACUCCUACGGGAGGCAGCAGUGGGGAAUAUUGGACAAUGGGGGCAACCCUGAUCCAGCAAUUCUGUGUGCACGAUGAAGGUUUUCGGAUUGUAAAGUGCUUUCAGCAGGGAAGAAAAAAAUGACGGUACCUGCAGAAGAAGCGACGGCUAAAUACGUG
Molecule: ribosomal RNA, 463 nt
Filed under: uncultured bacterium
Lineage: Bacteria
Description: partial 16S ribosomal RNA
Rfam family: Bacterial small subunit ribosomal RNA
Source: RNAcentral